Molecule: ribosomal RNA, 367 nt
Filed under: Gemella morbillorum
Lineage: Bacteria; Bacillati; Bacillota; Bacilli; Caryophanales; Gemellaceae
Description: bacterial SSU rRNA
Rfam family: Bacterial small subunit ribosomal RNA
Source: RNAcentral
CUCAUAGACUGGGACAACUAUUGGAACGAUAGCUAAUACCGGAUAACAGCAUUAACUGCAUGGUUGAUGUUUGAAAGUUGGUUAUGCUAACACUAUGAGAUGCUUUUCGGUGCAUUAGCUAGUUGGUGGGUAAAAGGCCCACCAAGGCGACGAUGCAUAGCCGACCUGAGAGGGUGAUCGGCCACACUGGGACUGAGACACGGCCCAGACUCUACGGGAGGCAGCAGUAGGGAAUCUUCCGCAAUGGCGAAACUGACGGAGCAACGCCGCGUGAGUGAAGAAGGAUUUCGGUUCGUAAAGCUCUGUUGUUAGGGAAGAAUGGAUAUGUAGUAACUAUACAUGUACGAGACGACCUAACCUAAACGCG